RNAcentral lists this ribosomal RNA (300 nucleotides) under uncultured Desulfotomaculum sp. Its description in RNAcentral is "partial 16S ribosomal RNA". It matches the Rfam family "Bacterial small subunit ribosomal RNA", at positions 496 to 795 of the family's 1533-position model. Lineage: Bacteria; Bacillati; Bacillota; Clostridia; Eubacteriales; Desulfotomaculaceae. The record is from RNAcentral.
UCGUAGGUGUGGCCAGCGGGGGUGGUAAGAAUGAUGGUGGAGGCGUUGGCCGUAAGUAUGGGGGGGAAGGGUCGCGGGGGGGGUUUGUGACGGCUGCUGUGAAAGAUCGGGGCUGAACCGCGUGCCUGCAGUGGAUACGGGCUAGCUAGAGUGCGGUAGGGGAGACGGGAAUUCCUGGUGUAGCGGUGAAAUGCGCAGAUAUCAGGAGGAACACCGGUGGCGAAGGCGGGUCUCUGGACCGAUACUGACGCUGAGGAGCGAAAGCGUGGGGAGCGAACAGGAUUAGAUACCCGUGUAGUC